This 2900-nucleotide ribosomal RNA is filed under the name Klebsiella pneumoniae. RNAcentral describes it as "23S ribosomal RNA". It matches the Rfam family "Bacterial large subunit ribosomal RNA". Lineage: Bacteria; Pseudomonadati; Pseudomonadota; Gammaproteobacteria; Enterobacterales; Enterobacteriaceae. The record is from RNAcentral. RNAcentral also lists the same sequence under 1 other name.
UUAAGCGACUAAGCGUACACGGUGGAUGCCCUGGCAGUCAGAGGCGAUGAAGGACGUGCUAAUCUGCGAAAAGCGUCGGUAAGGUGAUAUGAACCGUUAUAACCGGCGAUGUCCGAAUGGGGAAACCCAGUGCAAUUCGUUGCACUAUCGUUAACUGAAUACAUAGGUUAACGAGGCGAACCGGGGGAACUGAAACAUCUAAGUACCCCGAGGAAAAGAAAUCAACCGAGAUUCCCCCAGUAGCGGCGAGCGAACGGGGAGCAGCCCAGAGUCUGAAUCAGCUUGUGUGUUAGUGGAACGGUCUGGAAAGUCCGACGGUACAGGGUGAUAGUCCCGUACACCAAAAUGCACAGGUUGUGAACUCGAAGAGUAGGGCGGGACACGUGGUAUCCUGUCUGAAUAUGGGGGGACCAUCCUCCAAGGCUAAAUACUCCUGACUGACCGAUAGUGAACCAGUACCGUGAGGGAAAGGCGAAAAGAACCCCGGCGAGGGGAGUGAAAAAGAACCUGAAACCGUGUACGUACAAGCAGUGGGAGCACCUUCGGGUGUGACUGCGUACCUUUUGUAUAAUGGGUCAGCGACUUAUAUUCUGUAGCAAGGUUAACCGUAUAGGGGAGCCGCAGGGAAACCGAGUCUUAACUGGGCGUUAAGUUGCAGGGUAUAGACCCGAAACCCGGUGAUCUAGCCAUGGGCAGGUUGAAGGUUGGGUAACACUAACUGGAGGACCGAACCGACUAAUGUUGAAAAAUUAGCGGAUGACUUGUGGCUGGGGGUGAAAGGCCAAUCAAACCGGGAGAUAGCUGGUUCUCCCCGAAAGCUAUUUAGGUAGCGCCUCGUGAAUUCAUCUUCGGGGGUAGAGCACUGUUUCGGCUAGGGGGUCAUCCCGACUUACCAACCCGAUGCAAACUACGAAUACCGAAGAAUGUUAUCACGGGAGACACACGGCGGGUGCUAACGUCCGUCGUGAAGAGGGAAACAACCCAGACCGCCAGCUAAGGUCCCAAAGUCAUGGUUAAGUGGGAAACGAUGUGGGAAGGCACAGACAGCCAGGAUGUUGGCUUAGAAGCAGCCAUCAUUUAAAGAAAGCGUAAUAGCUCACUGGUCGAGUCGGCCUGCGCGGAAGAUGUAACGGGGCUAAACCAUGCACCGAAGCUGCGGCAGCGACACUAUGUGUUGUUGGGUAGGGGAGCGUUCUGUAAGCCUGCGAAGGUGUGCUGUGAGGCAUGCUGGAGGUAUCAGAAGUGCGAAUGCUGACAUAAGUAACGAUAAAGCGGGUGAAAAGCCCGCUCGCCGGAAGACCAAGGGUUCCUGUCCAACGUUAAUCGGGGCAGGGUGAGUCGACCCCUAAGGCGAGGCCGAAAGGCGUAGUCGAUGGGAAACAGGUUAAUAUUCCUGUACUUGGUGUUACUGCGAAGGGGGGACGGAGAAGGCUAUGUUAGCCGGGCGACGGUUGUCCCGGUUUAAGCAUGUAGGCUGGUUGUCCAGGCAAAUCCGGAUAAUCAAGGCUGAGGUGUGAUGACGAGGCACUACGGUGCUGAAGUAACAAAUGCCCUGCUUCCAGGAAAAGCCUCUAAGCAUCAGGUAACAUCAAAUCGUACCCCAAACCGACACAGGUGGUCAGGUAGAGAAUACCAAGGCGCUUGAGAGAACUCGGGUGAAGGAACUAGGCAAAAUGGUGCCGUAACUUCGGGAGAAGGCACGCUGGUGUGUAGGUGAAGCCCCUGCGGGUGGAGCUGAGACCAGUCGAAGAUACCAGCUGGCUGCAACUGUUUAUUAAAAACACAGCACUGUGCAAACACGAAAGUGGACGUAUACGGUGUGACGCCUGCCCGGUGCCGGAAGGUUAAUUGAUGGGGUUAUCCGUAAGGAGAAGCUCUUGAUCGAAGCCCCGGUAAACGGCGGCCGUAACUAUAACGGUCCUAAGGUAGCGAAAUUCCUUGUCGGGUAAGUUCCGACCUGCACGAAUGGCGUAAUGAUGGCCAGGCUGUCUCCACCCGAGACUCAGUGAAAUUGAACUCGCUGUGAAGAUGCAGUGUACCCGCGGCAAGACGGAAAGACCCCGUGAACCUUUACUAUAGCUUGACACUGAACAUUGAGCCUUGAUGUGUAGGAUAGGUGGGAGGCUUUGAAGCGUGGACGCCAGUCUGCGUGGAGCCAACCUUGAAAUACCACCCUUUAAUGUUUGAUGUUCUAACGUUGGCCCCUGACCGGGGUUGCGGACAGUGUCUGGUGGGUAGUUUGACUGGGGCGGUCUCCUCCCAAAGCGUAACGGAGGAGCACGAAGGUUAGCUAAUCCUGGUCGGACAUCAGGAGGUUAGUGCAAUGGCAUAAGCUAGCUUGACUGCGAGCGUGACGGCGCGAGCAGGUGCGAAAGCAGGUCAUAGUGAUCCGGUGGUUCUGAAUGGAAGGGCCAUCGCUCAACGGAUAAAAGGUACUCCGGGGAUAACAGGCUGAUACCGCCCAAGAGUUCAUAUCGACGGCGGUGUUUGGCACCUCGAUGUCGGCUCAUCACAUCCUGGGGCUGAAGUAGGUCCCAAGGGUAUGGCUGUUCGCCAUUUAAAGUGGUACGCGAGCUGGGUUUAGAACGUCGUGAGACAGUUCGGUCCCUAUCUGCCGUGGGCGCUGGAGAAUUGAGGGGGGCUGCUCCUAGUACGAGAGGACCGGAGUGGACGCAUCACUGGUGUUCGGGUUGUCAUGCCAAUGGCACUGCCCGGUAGCUAAAUGCGGAAGAGAUAAGUGCUGAAAGCAUCUAAGCACGAAACUUGCCCCGAGAUGAGUUCUCCCUGAGACUUUAAGUCUCCUGAAGGAACGUUAAAGACGAUGACGUUGAUAGGCCGGGUGUGUAAGCGCAGCGAUGCGUUGAGCUAACCGGUACUAAUGAACCGUGAGGCUUAACCUU